CCCAAGUAAUCUGCGACAUGAGAAGUGAGAUAAGUGGGCUAGCCCACGGACGCCACAUAACCCACUUAUCCUAGUUCCCCUCUUCCUUCCUCGUUCCUCUUCGCUUUGCCAGGGAUGCUAGGGUACGCCGCCGCAUAGCGCCGCCGUCCGCCUUCCCUUGGCCGGCCUAGGACAGCCAUCCACCCAUUCCAUGGACGCCACAGCGCCGCCAUCCAUCAUCUCAAUGGACGCUGCAGCGCCGUCUUCCACCUCCAUCAUCGCCACACCAGCGCCGCCGUUCACUUCCCCCACGGCUGCACCAGCGACGCCGUCCAACUCCCCCACGGCCGGACCAGCGCAGUCGUCCGUAUCCUCCAUGCCCGCCCCAACGCCGCCGUCAACCUCCACCAUGGCCAUCACCACAUAGGUUAAGAAGAAAAGAGAGCCUGUGCUAGGCUUGUACUUUGAGUUGAAGAAGCAAGUGUUCACCCCUUGGUCUUUGCACUGCUGCUGGAGUUGUGAUGAUGAUCCUUCAGGGUGGAUUCUCUGACUUUCAGUUCUUAUAGAAUUAUUUUGAAUGGUUGAGUAAGAGGUGCGCAUUUGAUAUGGAAACUAACACUGUGAAGAUGAUUUGAUCUGCAGAAUUUUCUUCUCUUUGUUUUCUUGGUUUAAUAAAUCAUGGCGUCUUUCACUAUUUCUUUCAGUAGUAGGUCGCGGAUUACAGAUUAUUGUUUCUCUUGAUCAGCAUCUGAAUAAAGGCUGUCCUUACUAAUUGUAUUCUACUUGUCAACUUUGUUGCCCAAAUACUUAAAUGUUAGCUUAAGUGAUGGAACAAAGAAUUCUUGUUGCUGGUAUGAACUCUGAACAUGCAAAUGCUGUCUAUGAUGAUCUGAUUCAUGUGAAUUUUCUAGUCCAUAAUGGUCAUCAAAUAGUAGCAUCCAACUGCUAGCUCUAGCUUGUCAAUGACAUUGUAUUCUGUUUUUUGUUAUUAGCGUAUCCUCGGUUGUCAACCAGCACCGACGGUUGAGUUGAAGACCACCUUCAAGUUCUAAUGGACCUUCAGACUGUUUAAUCUUGACAAGAAAUAUGAGCUGCUAAUUCUUGAAGAAAAGGUGUAGCCUAUGUACUGCAAUUGAACAUCUUGAAUAAAUGACAAAAGUUCAUCUAGGCUGUAGUCUAUGUACUGCAAUUGAUGUAUUGAUACAGAUGGAAGCAGAGUAUGUUAUGUGUUGCUUAUAACUAAGUUAUGUGCUGUUAUUGCCUCUGUACAUGUGCGAUUAUGUGUUGUCAUUGCCUAUGAACAUGUGGGAUCACGUAUUGUUAUUGCCUCUGGAUAUA
Triticum aestivum (bread wheat) is the source of this 1317-nucleotide long non-coding RNA. RefSeq lists it as uncharacterized. The transcript has 2 exons. Lineage: Eukaryota; Viridiplantae; Streptophyta; Magnoliopsida; Poales; Poaceae. The record is from RefSeq and is a predicted model, not a curated record.